This 273-nucleotide ribosomal RNA is filed under the name uncultured bacterium. Its description in RNAcentral is "partial 16S ribosomal RNA". It matches the Rfam family "Bacterial small subunit ribosomal RNA", at positions 524 to 796 of the family's 1533-position model. The record is from RNAcentral.
UACGAAGGGGGCUAGCGUUGCUCGGAAUUACUGGGCGUAAAGGGCGCGUAGGCGGACAGCUUAGUCAGAGGUGAAAGCCCAGGGCUCAACCUUGGAAUUGCCUUUGAUACUGGCUGUCUUGAGUACGGGAGAGGUGAGUGGAACUCCGAGUGUAGAGGUGAAAUUCGUAGAUAUUCGGAAGAACACCAGUGGCGAAGGCGACUCACUGGCCCAAUACUGACGCUGAGGCGCGAAAGCGUGGGGAGCAAACAGGAUUAGAAACCCCCGUAGUCC